RNAcentral lists this ribosomal RNA (499 nucleotides) under uncultured bacterium. RNAcentral describes it as "partial 16S ribosomal RNA". It matches the Rfam family "Bacterial small subunit ribosomal RNA", at positions 28 to 507 of the family's 1533-position model. The record is from RNAcentral.
GAUGAACGCUGGCGGCGUGCCUAAUACAUGCAAGUCGAGCGAACAGACGAGAGUGCUUGCACUCUCUGACGUUAGCGGCGGACGGGUGAGUAACACGUGGGUAACCUACCUAUAAGACUGGGAUAACUUCGGGAAACCGGAGCUAAUACCGGAUAAUAUUUAGCUUCGCAUGAAGCAAUAGUGAAAGACGGUUCUGCUGUCACUUAUAGAUGGACCCGCGGUGUAUUAGCUAGUUGGUGAGGUAACGGCUCACCAAGGCAACGAUACAUAGCCGACCUGAGAGGGUGAUCGGCCACACUGGGACUGAGACACGGCCCAGACUCCUACGGGAGGCAGCAGUAGGGAAUCUUCCGCAAUGGACGAAAGUCUGACGGAGCAAUGCCGCGUGAGUGAAGAAGGUUUUCGGAUCGUAAAACUCUGUUGUAAGGGAAGAACAAGUAUGUUAGUAACUGAACGUACCUUGACGGUACCUUACCAGAAAGCCACGGCUAACUACGUG